CCUACGGGUGGCAGCAGUGAGGAAUAUUGGUCAAUGGGCGCGAGCCUGAACCAGCCAAGUCGCGUGAGGGAAGACGGUCCUAUGGAUUGUAAACCUCUUUUGUCGGGGAGCAAAAGACGCCACGCGUGGCGUUCCGAGAGUACCCGAAGAAAAAGCAUCGGCUAACUCCGUGCCAGCAGCCGCGGUAAUACGGGGGAUGCGAGCGUUAUCCGGAUUUAUUGGGUUUAAUGGGUGCGCAGGCGGAAGAUCAAUUCAGCGGUAAAAAUGAGAGGCUCAACCUCUUCGAGCCGUUGAAACUGGUGUGCUUGAGUGAGCGAGAAGUAUGCGGAAUGCGUGGUGUAGCGGUGAAAUGCAUAGAUAUCACGCAGAACUCCGAUUGCGAAGGCAGCAUACCGGCGCUCAACUGACGCUCAUGCACGAAAGUGUGGGUAUCGAACAGGAUUAGAUACCCCUGUAGUC
Molecule: ribosomal RNA, 459 nt
Filed under: uncultured bacterium
Lineage: Bacteria
Description: partial 16S ribosomal RNA
Rfam family: Bacterial small subunit ribosomal RNA
Source: RNAcentral